This 210-nucleotide long non-coding RNA is filed under the name Elaeis guineensis (African oil palm). RNAcentral's name for it is "long non-coding RNA (EGUI_LNC073317)". Lineage: Eukaryota; Viridiplantae; Streptophyta; Magnoliopsida; Arecales; Arecaceae. The record is from RNAcentral.
CUGAACAGGUCUAAGGCUCACUUGCCCUAUGGUAUGGCACUCAUCCUGAUCUUUAGGAGGUUCGAAGUCAAUUUUGAGGGGGAGACAGUUGCCAGAUUAUCUCAUUCCGACACCAUCAAUUGCCACACACUGCACCACAUGGGUUUUUCAAAGACUGAUGGCGGUUGGUCAAAGGGUGUCGAGGAAAUAGCAGAGGAGCCAGCUGAGGAG